AGAGUUUGAUCAUGGCUCAGAUUGAACGCUGGCGGCAUGCCUUACACAUGCAAGUCGAACGGUAACAGGUCUUCGGAUGCUGACGAGUGGCGAACGGGUGAGUAAUACAUCGGAACGUGCCCAGUAAUGGGGGAUAGCUCGGCAAAAGCCGGAUUAAUACCGCAUACGCCCUGAGGGGGAAAGUGGGGGACCGCAAGGCCUCACGUUAUUGGAGCGGCCGAUGGCUGAUUAGCUAGUUGGUAGGGUAAAGGCCUACCAAGGCGACGAUCAGUAGCUGGCCUGAGAGGACGAUCAGCCACACUGGGACUGAGACACGGCCCAGACUCCUACGGGAGGCAGCAGUGGGGAAUUUUGGACAAUGGGGGAAACCCUGAUCCAGCAAUGCCGCGUGUGCGAAGAAGGCCUUCGGGUUGUAAAGCACUUUUGUCAGGGAAGAAAUCCUUUGGGCUAAUACCCUAGGGGGAUGACGGUACCUGAAGAAUAAGCACCGGCUAACUACGUGCCAGCAGCCGCGGUAAUACGUAGGGUGCAAGCGUUAAUCGGAAUUACUGGGCGUAAAGCGUGCGCAGGCGGUUGUGUAAGACAGGUGUGAAAUCCCCGGGCUUAACCUGGGAAUUGCAUUUGUGACUGCACGACUAGAGUGUGUCAGAGGGGGGUGGAAUUCCACGUGUAGCAGUGAAAUGCGUAGAUAUGUGGAGGAACACCAAUGGCGAAGGCAGCCCCCUGGGAUAACACUGACGCUCAUGCACGAAAGCGUGGGGAGCAAACAGGAUUAGAUACCCCGGUAGUCC
This 791-nucleotide ribosomal RNA is filed under the name uncultured bacterium. RNAcentral describes it as "bacterial SSU rRNA". It matches the Rfam family "Bacterial small subunit ribosomal RNA", at positions 8 to 796 of the family's 1533-position model. The record is from RNAcentral.